UAGUCAUAUGCUUGUCUUAAAGAUUAAGCCAUGCAUGUCUAAGUAUAAGCACUUGUACGGCGAAACUGCGAAUGGCUCAUUAAAUCAGUUAUAGUUUAUUUGAUAGUACUUUUACUACUUGGAUAACCGUGGUAAAUCUAGAGCUAAUACAUGCGCACAGUCCGGACUUCGGAAGGGAUGUAUUAUUUAGAUUAAGGCCAAUGCAGUUUCUCUUCGGGGAGGCUGGACAUAUGGUGAUUCAUGAUAACUUUGCGAAUCGCAUGACCUUGUGUCGGCGAUGUUUCAUUCAAAUUUCUGCCCUAUCAACUUUCGAUGGUAGUAUAGAGGACUACCAUGGUGUUAACGGGUAACGGAGGAUCAGGGUUUGAUUCCGGAGAAGGAGCCUGAGAAACGGCUACUACUUCCAAGGAAGGCAGCAGGCGCGCAAAUUACCCAAUCCCGACACGGGGAGGUAGUGACAAAAAAUAACAAUACCGGUGUAUAUAACACUGGUAAUUGGAAUGAGUACAAUCUAAACCCCUUAACGAGUAUCAAUU
This 536-nucleotide ribosomal RNA is filed under the name uncultured microeukaryote. RNAcentral's name for it is "bacterial SSU rRNA". It matches the Rfam family "Eukaryotic small subunit ribosomal RNA", at positions 21 to 549 of the family's 1831-position model. The record is from RNAcentral.